CGUGUCGUGAGAUGUUGGGUUAAGUCCCGUAACGAGCGCAACCCUUGUCCUUAGUUACCAGCACGUUAAGGUGGGCACUCUAAGGAGACUGCCGGUGACAAAUCGGAGGAAGGUGGGGAUGACGUCAAGUCAUCAUGGCCCUUACGGCCUGGGCUACACACGUGCUACAAUGGUCGGUACAAAGGGUUGCCAAGCCGCGAGGUGGAGCUAAUCCCAUAAAACCGAUCGUAGUCCGGAUCGCAGUCUGCAACUCGACUGCGUGAAGUCGGAAUCGCUAGUAAUCGUGAAUCAGAAUGUCACGGUGAAUACGUUCCCGGGCCUU
RNAcentral lists this ribosomal RNA (322 nucleotides) under uncultured bacterium. RNAcentral's name for it is "bacterial SSU rRNA". It matches the Rfam family "Bacterial small subunit ribosomal RNA", at positions 1061 to 1382 of the family's 1533-position model. The record is from RNAcentral.